RNAcentral lists this long non-coding RNA (480 nucleotides) under Pan troglodytes (chimpanzee). RNAcentral describes it as "long non-coding RNA NONPTRT003650". Lineage: Eukaryota; Metazoa; Chordata; Mammalia; Primates; Hominidae. The record is from RNAcentral.
AAAAGCAUUUCAGGCAGAGGAAAGUGCCAGGGCAGAGGCCCCGAGGAUAUGGGACUUCCUUGUGGACAUAAAAUGGCUGCUGCAGCUCCAGGCCACACAUGCACCUUCCAGGUAGAAAGAACUCACUAGGAAAGGUGCUGCUGACAGCCAUCGUGUGCUGCGGAGGAAGAUUGCCUGAGAAUGGAGCCAUUCAGGAGGAAAUGGGGCAGAGAAAUAAAGAGAAAUCAAAUCCCAUCUUUUCAGUCCCGCUUCCCUCACUCCCUCAUCCAUUCUUCCUAGCAGACUAUUCAGUUGUGCUUUUUAAGAUUUAUUCUGUUUUUGUUUUUCACCUAAGACGGUUUAGCUUGUUUGUUUUUCUCUUGUUUGCGACCACUGUGUUCUAGCGGUUAUUACGAAUUUAAUAGACUUUAUACAAGAUUUUGUAAAGGGCAGAAAACUCAAGAUUGGACAGUGACUUUCUCCUAGGACACUAUCUUGCCG